Molecule: long non-coding RNA, 5138 nt
Organism: Crotalus tigris (Tiger rattlesnake)
Lineage: Eukaryota; Metazoa; Chordata; Lepidosauria; Squamata; Viperidae
Exons: 2
Source: RefSeq, a predicted model, not a curated record
UGGCACUAAACCAGGUUAACAAAAUGCAAUAGCUGUGAUUGUAACACAUGCUAUGUUCAAAUAACUAAAAUAUAGCUUAAUAUGAUAAUAGUAGUCUGGAUCGCUCAAUAUGCUUAAGACAAUCAUAGCAUUUCCUGCAAUAUAUUGGACAACAAACUAUCCAACACCAUUUCAGCCUGAUUUAGUGUGCUGUGUGAACCCAGAUAUUAAAUGAGUCACUGGCAACUUUUAGCUAAAUUGCUUACUUGUUAUUCAAAUGGGGAUAGCAGGGUUAACCAGAAAAGACUAGUUUCAGUACUUGGGAUCUGUAAAGCAGAAAAUAUUGUGUCUCUGAGUACAUACAAGGAUUGGUGGCAUCUGAAGGCUUUCCUUCAGUCACCAAGGCACUCCACUGAAGGGGGUAGAGCAGACUAGAUUUUUCUCUCCCAUUUCUUACAUGAAUUUUCCCUUACUGACGUCAUACGCAUCAUACCAUACGUCAUACGUAUGCACAAACCACACUCCUUGUGAAAACAGAUCAUGUAUAGGAGUUCAAUAAGUCUCCUAGGAAGCCAGGACUCCAAGCUUCUUCCCAGAAUUAUUGCCAUUUUUAAGGCUUCUGGCUCUCUUAUUUGUAGAAGUACCAGAAAAUCAGACUGGCAGUAUUUCAUCCAAAUGUUCAGCAAUACAUAAAUCUGAUCUGUUAUGCUUGCCUUCCAGCAUUCUGGCCAACUGGCAUUGCUAACUAAUAGGAGUCAAAAUAUUAUUUAAUGCCAUGAAAUCCUUUCCAACGCAGGAGGUAAAUGUUUAGGUUCUUGGCACUUUCUCUGUUUGCCACUCUUGCUCUAUCCUUCUUAGUGCACGCUCAAGAUUUGCACCCUAUAAACUCUCUAGCUAAGGAUCUCUUUGUUCUGAUUGUGGUCCCAUUGCAGCAGACUUUAGCAGAGUCUGUGGUACAAACAUUAAAAUGGGAAAAUGGGAUAGACCAGAAUUCUCUACCAUAUCACAACUGUUUCUGCCACCUCCAGCAUAAUGACAAUAAACAAAGUAUGGGUCAUGUAUUGCCUUUGAUUCUUCACUUAAAAUUGACAUCAGCACCAGAAUGUCCUGGUGUCUCCUGUGUUCUGUCCUAGCAACUGCUCCUAGCUUGUUUCCAGCAUCAGACUUCCAUUUAAGUCAAGAGAAACAUUUGUUCAAUGGACAAAGAUUGAUCUACCUCUAAAUGCUCAUUAUUCCCACUACUCUUGCUUAGUAUUUUCAUAUACUGUAAAAUAUAGUGCAAAUCAUUGUUAAUUACUUCCCUCUCUGGAUUGCUCCUGACAGUCAAGUUAAACUGUUCACCACCAAUAUGUGAGGAUCAGAAAAUUUGUUGGCAUAAAUUUUGCUUCUUCCUGUUGCCAGACCAUGUUGUCAUAGUAAUGAGGUUGGCUAGUGGUCUUGUCCUUCCUUACUCAUUGUUGUAGCCCAAGCGGAUAGAAGAAGAGCGAAUUCUCUAGCUUUGUUUCCCCUGCAAUCAAGAUCCACCUGCUGGAUGGAAAAAUAUCCACCAUUCUCCUUAAUAUGGGUUCAGGAUGAGGAGAAUUUAUAGCAGAUAAAGAACAGAACUAUUCUGAAAAGUUGCCUAAUAAUGCAAGGUGGUAAAACGGAAAGGUGCACUCCCGACCCUCCUCACAACCCCUCUUAUGUGUCCAUUGACUGCCACUUGGGCUGUUAUGUUUUAGUAUAAUUACAACGAAUCUCAAAAAUCGAAAGUCAUUAUGUUGUUAGUCACACGUAAUAUUUGUAUUACGUGUGCUAAAAAAAAACAAAAGCAAGCAGCAUCUACGUGUAAUGGGGAGCGGCCUUCCACAGUUUUUCGGCUCGGGAAAGAAAUCACGCAGUACAGAUUAACGCGCAGCAGCACCUCGCUGGGUAAAUCUGGAAGGCCGCCGGUUGCCCUCCCAUUGAUCCGAGCAGCCUUCGGCAUCUUUUCUCUCCUCCUCCUCCCUGCUGUUCUCCGGCGGGCUAAUCGUGCACCUUCCUCGGCUUUGGAACCACUGCUCUUACUCCCUGAGCGGCGGAAACAAUGGUGGCAUUGCUGAGUACUGUUUGACCCGGGCCAAGCGGGGCCUCGGGAGAGAGGCCUUUGUGUUCACAGGAAUUAGCGAUUGUUGUGCCAGCCCGAGGGACACGCGAGAGACACGCGAACUCCUCCGCCCGCCUCCCCGUGCCCGGCUUCGGCCCUUAUUUUCCUUUUAAGCUGCGCUCCCUCCCUCGCUUGUCAACCACCUCCCUCUUUUGUUCGGCGCUAUUAGCAUAAAGCUGCCACGGAUCUCCCGUUUAAAUAAUUACGCCGUAAAGAAGGGGGGAUAUGAAAGAACGAAAACAAGAAAAAACAAAACCCACGAAACGGAGGGAGGGGAGGAAGAGAGCUCCUAUUUUCUCUUGUUCCAUUUUCGUGUCCGCGCAUUGAAUGCCGGGACCAGCUUGGGUCCCACCGCAAUUGAAGUGAACCCGUGAAGACACAGCCCUUCUUCACUCGCCUGUUUUGGUGGCAAAUGAGGUUGAAGCCCCCCGGAAGGGCCAGUGGAGCCAAGCGGCCUGAAGGAGAAGAAACGGCCCACUUGGCCUCGGGAAAAUACACUGGGCCAUAUUUCCCGCCUCAACGAAGCCGGGGCCAAAGACUUUUCCGGACUGACCCUGACCCUAAUUUGGAACGAGAGGAAGUGAUUUGCUCAAGGUCACCCAGCUGGCUUUCAUACCUACAGGAGGACUAAAGCAGGGGUGUCAAACUGCCAGCCUGCAGGAUGGUUUCAUCAUACCGAAACUGCAUCCACCCCAUUGCCGGCAAUGCAAAAAGAGUCAUGAUACGUCGUGACACGUCAAGUGAGGUGGCAAGUUUGAUACCCGUGGACCAGAGCCUGGGCCUCCAUGGUCUUAGUCCAGAACCUAAACCAUUAUACCACACUGACUCAUUUUUACUUAUUUAAUAGUUCUAGUGUUUAAAGCCUUCUCCCAUUGAAAAUAGCAUGUGUAUGCAUAUGAUAUAAAGAGUAAACUUUAACUCCUCAGUUGAUGUUUAGUAGGAGAGGACUGCUUCCUACCAAGGGAGAAUCCUUGUUGUAGUAGAAUUCUAACUUCCCAGUUAUAUUUAAUUGGGAUGCUUCCUCCUCAUGCAGCUAUAUGGAGAUUUUCCUUUGACCACAUAUAUGAGAUAAAUAGCCUAGCAAGAAUCUCAAUACGGCCAUGAGCACAAUGGUGCCUACGGCAUUGUGUUGGAAAUACUGGAACUGAUGGACAAGAAGCAUUUGAGGAGUAGGUAAAAGGAGAAGAUAUUAAAUCUAGGAAGAAUGUGAUGGUGAAGCAGGACUGAUAAGUCAGCGCACCAAGUACUCCUCCACACACUCUGGAGAUCUCAGAAGCCUCAUGGCAUACAUACCCAGAUGAUGUACAAUUGACACAUUAUGUCAAUAUACACUACUAAUGAAGACAGUGUUUUUUAUGCACACAAAGACCAAAAAGCAUAAUAUCAGAAAAUGUAGAGAAUAGGGAACAACAAACAAGAGAAACAGUAUCUUCUAAAAGAAAUGGAGGAUCUAUAAGCAUUUUACUAUCACUCCAAACCAAAAUCAUAAUUAUCUAAGUCUAAGAAACUGAACUAAUGCAAGAAGAAAGUCUCUUUGUAUACCCUCCCCAAACUCAACUGAACACAGAGAAGUAUGUUCUAUUGAAUAAAAUUAGACUAGGGAUAUAGCACUUUUGAAAAAUUUAAAGUGAUAGAAUAAACCCCAUUUUAGUAAAUAUAGUUUAUUCAAACAAUAAUGACACUGUUGUUCUUUAUUUUUAUUUCAAAAGGAACAAAGCUAUUAAACUCUAAGGAAUUAGCAUCUGUUUAUUUUUCCCAAUUUAGGAAAAGAAGAUAGGCAAACAUAGAAAACAGAAGAAGUCAUUAACAUAGUAUUAAAAUGAAGAAAAUAUGUAUUUUACAAAAAUAUUUUCAGAAAAAAGAUGGAAAGCUCAAAAUAUUUUGUCAUGUAAAGUAAUCAGUUUUUCUUGAUCUAAUACUAUCACUAUUUCUUAAAAUUUCCAAUGUUUUAUUUUUAUUAUUUUCUGGACUUAUAAAAGCUAAACCUUAACUAUAUGGAGGAAACCUUUCUUUUAUGUCAUUUGCUGUAUUUUCCGGUGUAUAAGACGACUCGGCGUAUAAGACGACCCCCGACUUCGGAGAAGAUUUGCAUGGUUAGAAAGUCGUCAUAUGCCGGAAAAUAUGGUAUUUUCCGGCGUAUAAGACGACUCGACGUAAAAGACGACCCCCGACUUCGGAGAAGAUUUGCAUGGUUUAGAAAGUCGUCUUAUACGCCGGAAAAUACGGUACUUCUUGAUUUACUUUCAAGCACAGACCAAUUACUUUUUAUUUAAAUAUAUAUACAUAAUUUUGAAAAAAAAUAUUAAAACUGUUUUUAAGCCAUUUUCAGUCAUCUCCAGGUUUAAGUGGAAAAAUACCUUCAGUAAGAAAAACUAAUAUUCUUCCUAGCAAAUAGGACAGGUUCUCAAAUAUCUGAAAUUAUUAUCAAUCAUAAUCACACUGAAUCAGAUCAAAUAUGUUUACCUGAACUGAAUAAAUUGUAUAGACUUGCAUAGAACUUGGAGCACUUAAACUCAUUGACUUCAAUCAGUUUUUCAGUGAGUAACCAAAUAGGAGUUCACUUUUCUUGGUGUAGUGUGAAUCAGCACGCCAAAAUUACAAGGUAUCUUUCUCAUUAGCAGCCAUCCUUUGGAAUUAGUCAACUUUCUGUGGUUUUUUUUUUCAUUUCUUUUUCUUCUUUUCUUUUGUCUUUUUCUUGCUUUUCUUUAUAUUUUUAUAUUUUAUGUCGCAAUAAAAUUCUAAUGAAAGUAUUUUUUUAAAAAAAUUUAGGUGCAAAUUCAGAAUUCAAAUUUUUGUUGAGUUUUCUACAAUGUUUUGAUGUAACAGUUGGGUACUGGCAUCUGAGUAUUAAUUCAAGGAUAGUUAUCCAUGCGCCAAUUUACUUAGCUCCGUAGGCUUAGGUAUUCUUUUAUUUGUGAUUUUAAAAAUUUAAACUAUUAUUUUAAUAGUUUUGACUUGUUUCAUUUUUAAAUUUAUUGUACACUGUUUUGUAAUGUCACUGAUAUGGCAAGUACAGAGAAAUUGUUCAAUCAAA